RNAcentral lists this ribosomal RNA (254 nucleotides) under uncultured bacterium. RNAcentral's name for it is "partial 16S ribosomal RNA". It matches the Rfam family "Bacterial small subunit ribosomal RNA", at positions 524 to 776 of the family's 1533-position model. The record is from RNAcentral.
UACGUAGGGGGCGAGCGUUGUCCGGAAUUAUUGGGCGUAAAGAGCUCGUAGGCGGUGUGUCACGUCGGCCGUGAAAACCUGCAGCUUAACUGUGGGCGUGCGGUCGAUACGGGCAUCACUGGAGUUCGGCAGGGGAGACUGGAAUUCCUGGUGUAGCGGUGAAAUGCGCAGAUAUCAGGAGGAACACCGGUGGCGAAGGCGGGUCUCUGGGCCGUAACUGACGCUGAGGAGCGAAAGCGUGGGGAGCGAACAGG